This 1148-nucleotide long non-coding RNA is filed under the name Lathyrus oleraceus (garden pea). RNAcentral's name for it is "Pisum sativum (pea) long non-coding RNA (PSAT_LNC023982)". The record is from RNAcentral. Lineage: Eukaryota; Viridiplantae; Streptophyta; Magnoliopsida; Fabales; Fabaceae.
UGCAAAAAAGAAGAUCAAAACUUGCUUUAUUCCAUUAAUAAAAAAUAGUACAAUGUUUACAUGAGAAUUUCAACAAAAUUACACAAAAGCAAAACUUGCACAUGGAUCCUUGUCAACAUCACUCGGAUCAUUCUUUCCACUCCCCACAAAAUCAAGGCCAAAACCUCUCAUAACAGCUCAAAUCCCCUCAUUCUUAUCCUAAAAGUACAUCUCACCAAUUCACACGCUCACUCACACGAUUUGACCUCAAAUUUCACUUAAAUUCACCCACCCACCUAAAAUCAACCCUAUUAUGUCAUAUCAAGCCUAACUAAUUCUCUACUCAAUAGCCAACAACAUUGACAAUUGAUAAACAAAUUCCAUUCUGAGCGAAAAUCCACAACCUGCAUAUCUUCCAAACCUUCACUUAAGAGUUCAAUUUCAUAGACCAUUAGAACUUCACAUUGAAGCUCUAAAUGGCAUGAGCUUAGCCCUUAACCUUCAUUCAUUGUUACCUCAACACAACAUAAGAAUAAAGAAGAAUUAGAAUGAGUAGAGGAAGAAGAAAGAAGCUGAAGAAAAGAGUAAGAAGAGAUAGAGUUCAUUAUCUAGAAAUCUCACUCACCGAAAGCUGAAAUUGGUCGUCAGAGCUCUGAUUUGGUAGCUUUUGUGUUUAUUUCAUAUUUUUUUUGUUUAAUAUUGUUGUAUACAUGAUUAUCCUUUUCCCAUGUUUGAUUUGCUUGUAAUCCGGGCAAAAAUAAUGAAAAUGGGGUUAGGGUUUUUGCGGGUUUUAUGGUUUCGAUCUGGUUUAUUUGUUUGUUGAUUGGUUGUUGUUUCGUUGUUGGAUUUGUGCUCAUGGGGUAAUUUUAUCGGGGUUGGUGUUUAAGGUUUUGGAUUUUGGAUAGAUUUUAGUUUUUUUUAGAAAAUUUUGAUGAGAGAUGAUGAAUGUUCAUCAUGUUCUAGAUGAACAUGGCAGAGCUAGCAGCGAUUUUUUGGAAAAGAUGGUGGUCUGAUGUGUGUUUGAGAGCAUAACUAGAAGAGAGCAUAGAAAUAGUCUUGAAAGGAAGUUGAGGGAAGAUAGAGAAAAUUGUAGGGGUGGCAAAACGGGCUCGGCCCGCGGGCAUUCCCCGCUCCGCCCUCACUUUUGUGCGGGGCGGGCCAAGGAUUUA